GUCAGGCAUGUGGGGGUGGUAUUGGACGGAUGGGCGGAAGCCUGAUCCAGCGACGCCGCGUGAGGGAUGACGGCUUUCGGGUUGUAAACCUCUUUCACCGAUGACGAAGCGCGAGUGACGGUAGUCGGAGAAGAAGCACCGGGCCAACUACGUGCCAGCAGUCGCGGUGAUACGUAGGGUGCGAGCGUUGUCCGGGAAUUAUUGGGCGUAAAGGGCUCGUAGGCGGUUUGUCGCGUCGGGAGUGAAAACCCAGGGCUUAACCCUGGGCUGGCUUUCGAUACGGGCAGACUAGAGGUAUGCAGGGGAGAACGGAAUUCCUGGUGUAGCGGUGAAAUGCGCAGAUAUCAGGAGGAACACCGGUGGCGAAGGCGGUUCUCUGGGCAUUACCUGACGCUGAGGAGCGAAAGUGUGGGGAGCGGCCACAGGAUUAGAUACCCUGGUAGUCCACACCGUAAACGUUGGGCGCUAGGUGUGGGGUCCAUUCCACGGAUUCCGUGCCGCAGCUAACGCAUUAAGUGCCCCGCCUGAGGAGUACGGCCGUCAAGGUUAAAACUCAAAGGAAUUG
RNAcentral lists this ribosomal RNA (565 nucleotides) under uncultured Actinomycetes bacterium. Its description in RNAcentral is "bacterial SSU rRNA". It matches the Rfam family "Bacterial small subunit ribosomal RNA", at positions 343 to 912 of the family's 1533-position model. The record is from RNAcentral. Lineage: Bacteria; Bacillati; Actinomycetota; Actinomycetes.